Molecule: ribosomal RNA, 386 nt
Filed under: uncultured bacterium
Lineage: Bacteria
Description: bacterial SSU rRNA
Rfam family: Bacterial small subunit ribosomal RNA
Source: RNAcentral
AAUGGGGGAAACCCUGACGCAGCAACGCCGCGUGAAGGAUGAAGGUUUUCGGAUCGUAAACUUCUUUGAUGAGGGACGAAUAAUGACGGUACCUCAAAAACAAGCCACGGCUAACUACGUGCCAGCAGCCGCGGUAAUACGUAGGUGGCGAGCGUUGUCCGGAAUUACUGGGUGUAAAGGGCGUGUAGGCGGGGAUACAAGUCAGAUGUGAAAUACCGUGGCUUAACCACGGGGCUGCAUCUGAAACUGUGUCUCUUGAGUGUCGGAGAGGAAAGUGGAAUUCCCAGUGUAGCGGUGAAAUGCGUAGAUAUUGGGAGGAACACCAGUGGCGAAGGCGACUUUCUGGACGAUAACUGACGCUGAGGCGCGAAAGCGUGGGGAGCAAA